AACGAACGCUGGCGGUAUGCUUAACACAUGCAAGUCGAACGAACAAAAUUGGGGCUUGCUCCAAUUUUAGUGAGUGGCAAACGGGUGAGUAACACGUGGGAAUCUACCUAUCAGUACGGAAUAACAUUUGGAAACAGAUGCUAAUACCGUAUAUUCUCCAAGGAGGAAAGAUUUAUCGCUGAUAGAUGAGCCCGCGUAAGAUUAGGUAGUUGGUAGGGUAAUGGCCUACCAAGCCGACGAUCUUUAGCUGGUUUGAGAGGAUGACCAGCCACACUGGGACUGAGACACGGCCCAGACUCCUACGGGAGGCAGCAGUGGGGAAUAUUGGACAAUGGGCGAAAGCCUGAUCCAGCAAUACCGCGUGAAUGAUGAAGGCCUUAGGGUUGUAAAGUUCUUUUAGUUGGAAAGAUAAUGACGGUACCAACGGAAAAAGCCCCGGCUAACUCCGUGCCAGCCGCCGCCGUAA
Molecule: ribosomal RNA, 466 nt
Filed under: uncultured bacterium
Lineage: Bacteria
Description: partial 16S ribosomal RNA
Rfam family: Bacterial small subunit ribosomal RNA
Source: RNAcentral